Non-coding RNA from Miniopterus natalensis, 298 nucleotides. NCBI's taxonomy places the organism in Eukaryota, Metazoa, Chordata, Mammalia, Chiroptera, Miniopteridae. The record is from RefSeq and is a predicted model, not a curated record.
CCCUGCGGGUUGGGGCCGGAGAGGAAGCUCAAGGACUCUGAAAUCGGCAGGGAGACGGGUCACCCGGCUCCUGCCGCUCCUCACACCCGUUGCUCUGUCUUCCAGGUGGUCUUCAGCAAGUACUGCAACUCCAGCGACAUCAUGGACCUCUUCUGCAUCGCCACCGGCCUGCCUCGGAACACGACCAUCUCUCUGCUGACCACAGACGAUGCCAUGGUCUCCAUCGACCCCACCAUGCCCGCAAAUUCCGAACGCACUCCCUACAAAGUGAGGCCUGUGGCCAUCAAGCAGCUCUCUG